GACGAACGCUGGCGGCGUGCUUAACACAUGCAAGUCGAACGGUGAAAGAAGAGCUUGCUCUUCUGGAUCAGUGGCGAACGGGUGAGUAACACGUGAGUACCCUGCCCCAUCCUCUGGAAUAAGCGCUGGAAACGGCGUCUAAUAUCUGAUACGAGCCAGAUCUGCAUGGCUACUGUCUGGAAAGUUUUUCGGUCUGGGAUGGACUCGCGGCCUAUCAGCUUGUUGGUGAGGUAGCGGCUCACCAAGGCAACGACGGGUCGCCGGCCUGAGAGGGCGACCGGCCACAAGGGGACUGAGACACGGACCAGAGGCCUACGGGAGGCAGCAGUGGGGAAUAUUGCACAAUGGGCGAAAGCCUGAUGCAGCGACGCCGCGGGAGGGAUGACGGCCUUCGGGUUGUAAACCUCUGUCAGCAGGGAAGAAGCGAAAGUGACGGUACCUGAAGAAGAAGCACCGGCUAACUACGUG
Molecule: ribosomal RNA, 468 nt
Filed under: uncultured bacterium
Lineage: Bacteria
Description: partial 16S ribosomal RNA
Rfam family: Bacterial small subunit ribosomal RNA
Source: RNAcentral